This is a long non-coding RNA of Rhinichthys klamathensis goyatoka, 395 nucleotides long. RefSeq lists it as uncharacterized. NCBI's taxonomy places the organism in Eukaryota, Metazoa, Chordata, Actinopteri, Cypriniformes, Leuciscidae. The record is from RefSeq and is a predicted model, not a curated record. The transcript is spliced from 3 exons.
CUCAUUGCCAAAUGAAUGUGACACCUCAAAACGAAAGGACAGUUCACAAUUCGGGAAGAGAAACCCAAUUGGCUCUUCAAUCACGAGCCCAAAAGAAGUAGGCUAUUGCUUACAGACCAGCGCUCAAGUUCUCCCCAUAACGGUGCAGCAAAUAAACAACCUACACUGGCAGAACUCCGUCCUGGCAAGAUGAAAACACAGAUUCAGCAUAUUCUCUCUCUCUGAGGGUGGGGGAUCCGUGGAAUCAGAGGCCAUGGAUUUAGUCUCCUUCAUCCAGAGUGUAUUAACACAAGGCAUAUUAAAUAAAAAGUAUACUUUGCAUCUGUUUAUCAUUAUUUGAAAUUCUCAAAUGCAGCACUCUUUCAAUCUUGAUAUGAAGCAUGUGCAUGCAUUUA